GACAGAGGUGCCAAGCGUUAGGCGGAAUCACUGGGCUUAAAGCGUGUGUAGGCGGAUCGUUAAGUACCUUGUGAAAUCCCACGGCUCAACCGUGGAACUGCUGGGUAUACUGGCGAUCUUGAGCCACCUAGGGGCGAGCGGAACAAGCGGUGGAGCGGUGAAAUGCGUAGAUAUCGCUUGGAACGCCAAUGGUGAGAACAGCUCGCUGGGGGUGUGCUGACGCUGAGACACGAAAGCCAGGGGAGCGAACGGG
This 253-nucleotide ribosomal RNA is filed under the name uncultured bacterium. Its description in RNAcentral is "partial 16S ribosomal RNA". It matches the Rfam family "Bacterial small subunit ribosomal RNA", at positions 524 to 776 of the family's 1533-position model. The record is from RNAcentral.